UUGCUAGUUACCAUCAUUGAGUUGGGGACGUCUAGCGAGACUGCCAGCGAUAAGCUGGAGGAAGGUGGGGAUGACGUCAAAUCAUCAUGCCCCUUAUGACCUGGGCUACAAACGUGAUACAAUGGCUGGAACAAAGGGAGGCGAAGGGGUGACCUGGAGCGAAACCCAAAAAUACAGUCUCAGUUCGGAUUGAAGUCUGCAACUCGACUUCAUGAAGUCGGAAUCGCUAGUAAUCGCGGAUCAGAACGCCGCGGUGAAUACGUUCUCGGGGUUU
This 274-nucleotide ribosomal RNA is filed under the name uncultured Acholeplasma sp. RNAcentral's name for it is "partial 16S ribosomal RNA". It matches the Rfam family "Bacterial small subunit ribosomal RNA", at positions 1108 to 1382 of the family's 1533-position model. The record is from RNAcentral. Lineage: Bacteria; Bacillati; Mycoplasmatota; Mollicutes; Acholeplasmatales; Acholeplasmataceae.